AUGGCGUCGCCCGGGUCGCGGCGGCGUACGUGCGGAUCAUGGCCGACACGAUCCUCGGCGGCGGCGGCCACGGCUUCUACGUCAUGCACUGCAUCGAGACCUCCUACAAUGCGAGGAUGGAGGAGAGGCUGCGUCGAUGGCAAGCUUGAGUGCCUCUACCAUGGCUGGCAGUUCGACGGCCAGGGCAAGUGCGUCAAGAUCCCACAGGUUAAUGGAGCAAUGAUGUGGUGGUAUAACAUAUCUGCGGCGGUUCUUCAAGCAGCUUUCCAUGUGGAGGAUCGCGUCCAGGGUCGUCGUCAAGCCCUCGCGCGGCUCAUGGGCAUAGGCUGGUCCAUGCACGCUGGUGAUGGCGGCUCACCAAGGUUGUCGUCGUCGCCUGCACGCACGAGGCACCUGACGACCUCCUCCAUCGCCAGCCACGAGGACCGGGCACGAGCUGCAGUACAGGUCUCGUACACGAGGAGGCCCUUGUGGUCGCCGCUGGAGGGGCUGGAGCUUGGCGGCAGCCUGGCGGAUGACGGGGGCCUGGACGGGGGCUAUUUCUGUAGCAGGAUGAUAGCUUAA
This 564-nucleotide ribosomal RNA is filed under the name Triticum aestivum (bread wheat). RNAcentral describes it as "partial small subunit ribosomal RNA". The record is from RNAcentral. Lineage: Eukaryota; Viridiplantae; Streptophyta; Magnoliopsida; Poales; Poaceae.